RNAcentral lists this ribosomal RNA (716 nucleotides) under Atlantibacter sp. RNAcentral describes it as "bacterial SSU rRNA". It matches the Rfam family "Bacterial small subunit ribosomal RNA", at positions 772 to 1488 of the family's 1533-position model. The record is from RNAcentral. Lineage: Bacteria; Pseudomonadati; Pseudomonadota; Gammaproteobacteria; Enterobacterales; Enterobacteriaceae.
ACAGGAUUAGAUACCCUGGUAGUCCACGCCGUAAACGAUGUCGACUUGGAGGUUGUGCCCUUGAGGCGUGGCUUCCGGAGCUAACGCGUUAAGUCGACCGCCUGGGGAGUACGGCCGCAAGGUUAAAACUCAAAUGAAUUGACGGGGGCCCGCACAAGCGGUGGAGCAUGUGGUUUAAUUCGAUGCAACGCGAAGAACCUUACCUGGUCUUGACAUCCACAGAACUUNGCAGAGAUGCNUUGGUGCCUUCGGGAACUGUGAGACAGGUGCUGCAUGGCUGUCGUCAGCUCGUGUUGUGAAAUGUUGGGUUAAGUCCCGCAACGAGCGCAACCCUUAUCCUUUGUUGCCAGCGGUCAGGCCGGGAACUCAAAGGAGACUGCCAGUGAUAAACUGGAGGAAGGUGGGGAUGACGUCAAGUCAUCAUGGCCCUUACGACCAGGGCUACACACGUGCUACAAUGGCGCAUACAAAGAGAAGCAAUCUCGCGAGAGCNAGCGGACCUCAUAAAGUGCGUCGUAGUCCGGAUUGGAGUCUGCAACUCGACUCCAUGAAGUCGGAAUCGCUAGUAAUCGUGAAUCAGAAUGUCACGGUGAAUACGUUCCCGGGCCUUGUACACACCGCCCGUCACACCAUGGGAGUGGGUUGCAAAAGAAGUAGGUAGCUUAACCUUCGGGAGGGCGCUUACCACUUUGUGAUUCAUGACUGGGGUGAAGUCG